RNAcentral lists this ribosomal RNA (638 nucleotides) under uncultured bacterium. Its description in RNAcentral is "bacterial SSU rRNA". It matches the Rfam family "Bacterial small subunit ribosomal RNA", at positions 232 to 885 of the family's 1533-position model. The record is from RNAcentral.
CGCGGCCUAUCAGCUUGUUGGUGGGGUAACGGCUCACCAAGGCAUCGACGGGUAGCUGGUCUGAGAGGACGAUCAGCCACACUGGGACUGAGACACGGCCCAGACUCCUGCGGGAGGCAGCAGUGGGGAAUCUUGCGCAAUGGGCGAAAGCCUGACGCAGCAACGCCGCGUGGGGGAUAAAGGCUCUCGGGUUGUAAACCCCUUUCAUCAGGGACGAAAUUGACGGUACCUGCAGAAGAAGGUCCGGCUAACUACGUGCCAGCAGCCGCGGUAAUACGUAGGGACCAAGCGUUGUCCGGAUUUAUUGGGCGUAAAGAGCUCGUAGGCGGUUUCGUAAGUCGGGUGUGAAAAAUCUGGGCUCAACCCAGUGGAGCACCCGAUACUGCGAUGACUGGAGUCCGGUAGAGGAGUGUGGAAUUUCUGGUGUAGCGGUGAAAUGCGCAGAUAUCAGAAGGAACACCGACAGCGAAGGCAGCACUCUGGGCCGGUACUGACGCUGAGGAGCGAAAGCAUGGGGAGCAAACAGGAUUAGAUACCCUGGUAGUCCAUGCCGUAAACGUUGGGCACUAGGUGUGGGAAGGAGUCAACCCUUUCCGUGCCGUAGCUAACGCAUUAAGUGCCCCGCCUGGGGAGUACGG